RNAcentral lists this ribosomal RNA (388 nucleotides) under uncultured bacterium. RNAcentral's name for it is "bacterial SSU rRNA". It matches the Rfam family "Bacterial small subunit ribosomal RNA", at positions 29 to 414 of the family's 1533-position model. The record is from RNAcentral.
AAUCAACGCUGGCGGCGUGCCUAACACAUGCAAGUCGAACGGUAACGCGGGGGCAACCCUGGCGACGAGUGGCGAACGGGUGAGUAAUACAUCGGAACAUGUCCUGGAGUGGGGGAUAGCUCGGCGAAAGCCGGAUUAAUACCGCAUACGCUCUGAGGAGGAAAGCGGGGGACCUGGUAACGGGCCUCGCGCUGCGGGAGUGGCCGAUGUCGGAUUAGCUAGUUGGUGAGGUAAAGGCUCACCAAGGCGACGAUCCGUAGCUGGUCUGAGAGGAUGAUCAGCCACACUGGGACUGAGACACGGCCCAGACUCCUACGGGAGGCAGCAGUGGGGAAUUUUGGACAAUGGGGGCAACCCUGAUCCAGCCAUGCCGCGUGAGUGAAGAAGG